This 478-nucleotide ribosomal RNA is filed under the name uncultured Acidovorax sp. Its description in RNAcentral is "bacterial SSU rRNA". It matches the Rfam family "Bacterial small subunit ribosomal RNA", at positions 900 to 1382 of the family's 1533-position model. Lineage: Bacteria; Pseudomonadati; Pseudomonadota; Betaproteobacteria; Burkholderiales; Comamonadaceae. The record is from RNAcentral.
CUUAAAGGAAUUGACGGGACCGCACAAGCGGUGGAUGAUGUGGUUAAUUCGAUGCAACGCGAAAACCUUACCCACCUUUGACAUGUACGGAAUCCUUUAGAGAUAGAGGAGUGCUCGAAAGAGAGCCGUAACACAGGUGCUGCAUGGCUGUCGUCAGCUCGUGUCGUGAGAUGUUGGGUUAAGUCCCGCAACGAGCGCAACCCUUGUCAUUAGUUGCUACAUUCAGUUGGGCACUCUAAUGAGACUGCCGGUGACAAACCGGAGGAAGGUGGGGAUGACGUCAAGUCCUCAUGGCCCUUAUAGGUGGGGCUACACACGUCAUACAAUGGAUGGUACAAAGGGUCGCCAACCCGCGAGGGGGAGCCAAUCCCAUAAAGCCAUUCGUAGUCCGGAUCGCAGUCUGCAACUCGACUGCGUGAAGUCGGAAUCGCUAGUAAUCGUGGAUCAGAAUGUCACGGUGAAUACGUUCCCGGGUCUU